CCCUUAGAUGUUCUGGGCCGCACGCGUGCUACACUGAGUGGAUCAGCGGGUCAGGUUGCGCGAAAGUGUUUCCUAAUCUUUAAAUCCGCUCGUGAUGGGGAUUGACGGUUGCAAUUUUCCGUCAUGAACGAGGAAUACCUUGUAAGCGCGGGUCAUCAUCCCGCGCUGAAUACGUCCCUGCCCUUUGUGCACACCGCCCGUCGCUCCUACCGAUUGAGUGGUCCGGUGAGGCUUUGGGAUCUGAGCGGAAAGAGCGUUUCGCUGUUUCUGCCCGGAAAACUCAGUCGAACCUUAUCAUUUAGAGGAAGGAGAAGUCGUAACA
Molecule: ribosomal RNA, 322 nt
Filed under: uncultured eukaryote
Lineage: Eukaryota
Description: partial 18S ribosomal RNA
Rfam family: Eukaryotic small subunit ribosomal RNA
Source: RNAcentral